UACGUAGGUGACAAGCGUUGUCCGGAUUUACUGGGCGUAAAGAGCGCGCAGGCGGUCGAUCAAGUCGAGUGUGAAAGCCCCCGGCUCAACUGGGGAGGGUCAUUCGAUACUGAUCGACUCGAAGGCAGGAGAGGGUAGUGGAAUUCCCGGUGUAGUGGUGAAAUGCGUAGAUAUCGGAAGGAACAUCAGUGGCGAAAGCGGCUUCCUGGACCAGCACCGACGUUCAGGCACGAAAGCGUGGGGAGCAAACAGG
RNAcentral lists this ribosomal RNA (253 nucleotides) under uncultured bacterium. Its description in RNAcentral is "partial 16S ribosomal RNA". It matches the Rfam family "Bacterial small subunit ribosomal RNA", at positions 524 to 776 of the family's 1533-position model. The record is from RNAcentral.